Molecule: ribosomal RNA, 660 nt
Filed under: Roseovarius sp.
Lineage: Bacteria; Pseudomonadati; Pseudomonadota; Alphaproteobacteria; Rhodobacterales; Roseobacteraceae
Description: bacterial SSU rRNA
Rfam family: Bacterial small subunit ribosomal RNA
Source: RNAcentral
GGCAGGGGGGGCAGCUACACAUGCAAGUCGAGCGAACCUUCGGGUUAGCGGCGGACGGGUGAGUAACGCGUGGGAACGUACCCUCUUCUGCGGGAUAGCCACUGGAAACGGUGAGUAAUACCGCAUACGCCCUUCGGGGGAAAGAUUUAUCGGAGGAGGAUCGGCCCGCGUUGGAUUAGGUAGUUGGUGGGGUAAUGGCCUACCAAGCCUACGAUCCAUAGCUGGUUUUAGAGGAUGAUCAGCCACACUGGGACUGAGACACGGCCCAGACUCCUACGGGAGGCAGCAGUGGGGAAUCUUAGACAAUGGGCGCAAGCCUGAUCUAGCCAUGCCGCGUGAGUGACGAAGGCCUUAGGGUCGUAAAGCUCUUUCGCCAGAGAUGAUAAUGACAGUAUCUGGUAAAGAAACCCCGGCUAACUCCGUGCCAGCAGCCGCGGUAAUACGGAGGGGGUUAGCGUUGUUCGGAAUUACUGGGCGUAAAGCGCACGUAGGCGGAUUGGAAAGUUGGGGGUGAAAUCCCAGGGCUCAACCCUGGAACUGCCUCCAAAACUCCCAGUCUGGAGUUCGAGAGAGGUGAGUGGAAUUCCGAGUGUAGAGGUGAAAUUCGUAGAUAUUCGGAGGAACACCAGUGGCGAAGGCGGCUCACUGGCUCGAUACUGA